GACGAACGCUGGCGGCGUGCCUAAUACAUGCAAGUAGAACGCUGAAGGAGGAGCUUGCUCUUCUGGAUGAGUUGCGAACGGGUGAGUAACGCGUAGGUAACCUGCCUGGUAGCGGGGGAUAACUAUUGGAAACGAUAGCUAAUACCGCAUAAGAGUAGAUGUUGCAGGACAUUUGCUUAAAAGGUGCAAUUGCAUCACUACCAGAUGGACCUGCGUUGUAUUAGCUAGUUGGUGGGGUAACGGCUCACCAAGGCGACGAUACAUAGCCGACCUGAGAGGGUGAUCGGCCACACUGGGACUGAGACACGGCCCAGACUCCUACGGGAGGCAGCAGUAGGGAAUCUUCGGCAAUGGACGGAAGUCUGACCGAGCAACGCCGCGUGAGUGAAGAAGGUUUUCGGAUCGUAAAGCUCUGUUGUAAGAGAAGAACGAGUGUGAGAGUGGAAAGUUCACACUGUGACGGUAUCUUACCAGAAAGGGACGGCUAACUACGUG
RNAcentral lists this ribosomal RNA (495 nucleotides) under uncultured bacterium. RNAcentral's name for it is "partial 16S ribosomal RNA". It matches the Rfam family "Bacterial small subunit ribosomal RNA", at positions 28 to 507 of the family's 1533-position model. The record is from RNAcentral.